CUUGUAUCACAGCUCCAAUUUUCAUUCUUCCUAUUGGAGAACUCUUAAUCUGUGCCCUUCUACUUUGCUGAUGUGUUGAUAGGCACAGAUGCUCAGACUGGCUAGAAAAAGGGUAUGCUCAGAUAUGUUGUUGUGUUUCAUGUUUCAAUGAGUAGGUUUUUUUGUUGUUUAAAUCAAUGGGGCCUUUCA
This is a long non-coding RNA of Aquila chrysaetos chrysaetos, 189 nucleotides long. RefSeq lists it as uncharacterized. The transcript is spliced from 3 exons. The record is from RefSeq and is a predicted model, not a curated record. Lineage: Eukaryota; Metazoa; Chordata; Aves; Accipitriformes; Accipitridae.